RNAcentral lists this long non-coding RNA (328 nucleotides) under Chinchilla lanigera (long-tailed chinchilla). Its description in RNAcentral is "lncRNA (ENSCLAG00000024108.1)". Lineage: Eukaryota; Metazoa; Chordata; Mammalia; Rodentia; Chinchillidae. The record is from RNAcentral.
CCCAGGCUGAAGGGCAGGAGCGGUGGGUGCUGUCCGCGGUGCUGACCGGCGCAAGUCUCUGGAACGGGACCGAUUAGGAGGUGUCCCUGCCGCGUGACCAGCACCUGCCACCGGCCUCACCGGCCUCUCAGUCCAGCUGCACCAGGACCAAGCCCAGCAGGAGUCUGAGGGUCAAAGCACAGCACGCCCCUGUCUCUGAACAUCUGUCCUCCUGUCUUCCUCUCACCUCUGCUGCUCGCAGACUGGUUUCCGUCUCCUUGUCCUCAGCCUCCCUUUCUCUUUCUCUUUCAAUUUCUCCUGGAUUUCCUGAGAAAUAAACAUGGCCCGU